This 317-nucleotide ribosomal RNA is filed under the name Mesomycoplasma hyopneumoniae. Its description in RNAcentral is "bacterial SSU rRNA". It matches the Rfam family "Bacterial small subunit ribosomal RNA", at positions 231 to 547 of the family's 1533-position model. The record is from RNAcentral. Lineage: Bacteria; Bacillati; Mycoplasmatota; Mycoplasmoidales; Metamycoplasmataceae.
UGCUGCUACCAUGGUGGGGGGUACGCCCUACCCGGACGAUGAUGUUUAGCGGGGCCAAGAGGUUGUACCGCCACACUGGGAUUGAGAUACGGCCCAGACUCCUACGGGAGGCAGCAGUAAGGAAUAUUCCACAAUAAGCGAAAGCUUGAUGGAGCGACACAGCGUGCAGGAUGAAGUCUUUCGGGAUGUAAACUGCUGUUGUAAGGGAAGAAAAAACUAGAUAGGAAAUGCUCUAGUCUUGACGGUACCUUAUUAGAAAGCGACGGCAAACUAUGUGCCAGCAGCCGCGGUAAUACAUAGGUCGCAAGCGUUAUCCG